GGCUCGUUCGUCUAGUGGUCAGGAUUUCCGCUUCUCAAGCGGUGAAGAAUGGUUCGAUUCCAUUACGAGUCA
This 72-nucleotide transfer RNA is filed under the name Neisseriaceae bacterium. RNAcentral's name for it is "tRNA-Glu". It matches the Rfam family "tRNA". Rfam says of the family: Transfer RNA (tRNA) molecules are approximately 80 nucleotides in length. Their secondary structure includes four short double-helical elements and three loops (D, anti-codon, and T loops). Further hydrogen bonds mediate the characteristic L-shaped molecular structure. tRNAs have two regions of fundamental functional importance: the anti-codon, which is responsible for specific mRNA codon recognition, and the 3' end, to which the tRNAs corresponding amino acid is attached (by aminoacyl-tRNA synthetases). tRNAs cope with the degeneracy of the genetic code in two manners: having more than one tRNA (with a specific anti-codon) for a particular amino acid; and 'wobble' base-pairing, i.e. permitting non-standard base-pairing at the 3rd anti-codon position. Lineage: Bacteria; Pseudomonadati; Pseudomonadota; Betaproteobacteria; Neisseriales; Neisseriaceae. The record is from RNAcentral.